ACGAGUGACCUCUGGUGGCGAUCGGAAGAAAGUCCAUGGACAGGAUUCGUAACAGUUAUUGGCCAACAAUUUUCACUGACACAAAGCACUACAAUAAACUACAAAAACUGCACAUUAAAUCUACAGAUUCAACUGGAAAGGACACAGCCAGAAAUAAAGCCAGAACACCAAUGAGAGAAAUAAAGCUGUUCACUGAUCUGCUACACUCCAUUGAGAGAUGUCAUUCUGAGCUGCUGGAGGUGAUGGAACAGAAGCAGAAAACAGCAAAGAAGCAGGCUGAGGAGCUCAUUAAAGAGCUGGGGCAGGAAAUCACUGAACUAAAGAGGAAAGACACUUAGCUUGAGAUGCUCUCACACACUGAAGAUCACCUGCACUUCCUACAAGUGUCACGGAAUACUCCGAAACAAGAUCAAAGUGCAGCAUUUAUUAAAGAGUCCAAAAACAACAAACUUGAACGUCUCUAAGAGGCCCCCCACAAGUCAAGUCCUGGACCAGCAACAUUACUGAUAUGAACAUAGAUCUGAACACAGAAACCUUGGACAAAGCUCUUCAGAACCUUCAGGAAAACAUCAAAAUGGAACUGAAGAAAUUCUUUGAAAUCAGUAAGUAUUAAAGGGGUCAUAUAAUGCAAAUUAAAAUUUUCCUUUCUCUUUGGAGUGUUACAAGC
Long non-coding RNA from Sinocyclocheilus grahami, 667 nucleotides. RefSeq lists it as uncharacterized. The record is from RefSeq and is a predicted model, not a curated record. The transcript has 4 exons. Lineage: Eukaryota; Metazoa; Chordata; Actinopteri; Cypriniformes; Cyprinidae.